AUCUAAUAUUAGAGAAUAUGUUUUUAAUAUAUUGAAAAAUAAAUGGAGUAAAAAAGAUGAUAAUAAAUUGCAUGAAAUUAAACCUAAUUUAGGCAAACCUUUUGAUAAUAUUAUGUGCAGAAAAGAUCAGUGUGUUAUUACUAGAUGUCGUAUUGGUCAUACUAGAAUAACACACGAGUAUCUUUUAAAAAAUGAAGAUGAACCACAAUGUGUUCCUUGCAAC
This 223-nucleotide long non-coding RNA is filed under the name Mytilus galloprovincialis (Mediterranean mussel). Lineage: Eukaryota; Metazoa; Mollusca; Bivalvia; Mytilida; Mytilidae. The record is from RNAcentral.